AAAGGGCAGUUCUCACCUUAGGUGUGUUAUCUUUAGCAUAUGGUGGCCAACAUUAGCCAGAAAAUCCUUAUCACCAAACUCUGAAGCAMAGCUUCCUCCUACCAUUUCAUUGACUUAGCAUCCAAACAUUGACAAACAUGCACCAAAGACUACUAUGGUACAUGAAUCACCAGCACAUCACACACUUAAUACAUAUCAUCAUGGCCAACAUAUCACCACAUACAAUGUAUACACCAGAAACAGAGUCCACAAGGAUAUAGUACACCACUUAAUAUGCACUACACAAAUUAUUCAAAACACCAGUUYCACAAGCAUGCUAGAAGAAUCACUCACACCCUCACUCAGCUCAACACCACCAUUACAAGUCCGGCUGACUAAUGGCUAUAGGAGUGAAUGGGAGUCAUUCAGGCAAACCAUCACCAUGGAGAUGGAGAAGCUGAAGGCAGAAGUAGAGAAUUUGAAGCAAGAAGUGAAAUCUUGCGAAGAGCAAUGAAAGAAAAGGUUUUACUCUUGAAGCCGGAGGAGAGUAUUGGUGUCCCUUCUCACAAGCACCAUGAUUACCACACUCCUAGACGACCCCACCAUGACAAGUUCCUUGUUAGAGUUUCUUCUUCAAAUACAAAGUGGCUUACCACAGGGCUAACUUAGAACUCGUUUGUUGGCGCUCUCAAAGAGCAUUGUGAUGRCUUCCAACUCCAAGGAAGGAAAAAGGAAACUAAGGAGUGUUUAACAGCAAAAACUGACAACACUAUGACAUGUACCAUGGUUUUUGYAUUCCACAACCAAGCGCAAGUGGCGGACGUGCGAAAGAAAACACCCGGCCUUGUCAAAAAAGCGAAAGGGUACAAAAUUCUUAAAAGGCUUCUGGGAGAGAAACGUGUUUCUUUGAUUGAAUGUAGUAAGAAACAUUCCUUUCGAAUUGGUUAAGAGAAGAGGCUAAAGGUCAAUGAUAGAGAUGAGGAUGGUGUACUUUACUUUUCGUGAAGGAAGAUGUAGAGGAGGUGGACAUGUUACUCUCCAACGGAACUUUCCAGAUAACACUGAUACCGAAACUCAACCAAAAAACACAGGGUUAUUGAUGAACGUUCUCUUCCAUCGAAAUUAAGAUACCAACUUAUGUCUCCGGGAAAGAAGUAGACAUUUACAAAGCUAACGUUUACGCAAGUUCACGAUCAUCCCACUAUAGCUAACUUUUAAACGUGAAAAAGAAAGGGUGAACUGGCAGCCAUACGUCUAGCAAACGGGGAAUCCUUGGGGCAACAGUAAGUGUUGKGUCAGAAGACAGAAGGUUUGCACAAAAUAAACAAUAAU
Long non-coding RNA from Actinia tenebrosa (Australian red waratah sea anemone), 1311 nucleotides. The record is from RefSeq and is a predicted model, not a curated record. Lineage: Eukaryota; Metazoa; Cnidaria; Anthozoa; Actiniaria; Actiniidae.